RNAcentral lists this ribosomal RNA (497 nucleotides) under uncultured bacterium. RNAcentral describes it as "partial 16S ribosomal RNA". It matches the Rfam family "Bacterial small subunit ribosomal RNA", at positions 28 to 507 of the family's 1533-position model. The record is from RNAcentral.
GACGAACGCUGGCGGCGUGCCUAAUACAUGCAAGUUGAGCGCUGAAGGUUGGUACUUGUACCAACUGGAUGAGCAGCGAACGGGUGAGUAACGCGUGGGGAAUCUGCCUUUGAGCGGGGGACAACAUUUGGAAACGAAUGCUAAUACCGCAUAAAAACUUUAAACACAAGUUUUAAGUUUGAAAGAUGCAAUUGCAUCACUCAAAGAUGAUCCCGCGUUGUAUUAGCUAGUUGGUGAGGUAAAGGCUCACCAAGGCGAUGAUACAUAGCCGACCUGAGAGGGUGAUCGGCCACCUUGGGACUGAGACACGGCCCAAACUCCUACGGGAGGCAGCAGUAGGGAAUCUUCGGCAAUGGACGAAAGUCUGACCGAGCAACGCCGCGUGAGUGAAGAAGGUUGUCGGAUCGUAAAACUCUGUUGGUAGAGAAGAACGUUGGUGAGAGUGGAAAGCUCAUCAAGUGACGGUAACUACCCAGAAAGGGACGGCUAACUACGUG